Molecule: transfer RNA, 76 nt
Filed under: Janthinobacterium lividum
Lineage: Bacteria; Pseudomonadati; Pseudomonadota; Betaproteobacteria; Burkholderiales; Oxalobacteraceae
Also listed under: 5 other names
Description: tRNA-Val
Rfam family: tRNA
About the family: Transfer RNA (tRNA) molecules are approximately 80 nucleotides in length. Their secondary structure includes four short double-helical elements and three loops (D, anti-codon, and T loops). Further hydrogen bonds mediate the characteristic L-shaped molecular structure. tRNAs have two regions of fundamental functional importance: the anti-codon, which is responsible for specific mRNA codon recognition, and the 3' end, to which the tRNAs corresponding amino acid is attached (by aminoacyl-tRNA synthetases). tRNAs cope with the degeneracy of the genetic code in two manners: having more than one tRNA (with a specific anti-codon) for a particular amino acid; and 'wobble' base-pairing, i.e. permitting non-standard base-pairing at the 3rd anti-codon position.
Source: RNAcentral
GGGCGCGUAGCUCAGCGGUAGUAGCACUACCUUGACAUGGUAGGGGUCACAGGUUCAAUCCCUGUCGCGCCCACCA